UACGAAGGGUGCAAACGUUGCUCGGAAUUAUUGGGCGUAAAGCGCACGUAGGCGGUUACUCAAGUCGGAUGUGAAAGCCCUCGGCUUAACUGAGGAAGUGCACCCGAAACUGAGUAGCUAGAGUACUAAAGAGGGUCGCGGAAUUCCCGGUGUAGAGGUGAAAUUCGUAGAUAUCGGGAGGAACACCGGUGGCGAAGGCGGCGACCUGGGUAGAUACUGACGCUGAGGCGCGAAAGCGUGGGGAGCAAACAGG
This 253-nucleotide ribosomal RNA is filed under the name uncultured bacterium. RNAcentral's name for it is "partial 16S ribosomal RNA". It matches the Rfam family "Bacterial small subunit ribosomal RNA", at positions 524 to 776 of the family's 1533-position model. The record is from RNAcentral.